This 873-nucleotide ribosomal RNA is filed under the name uncultured bacterium. RNAcentral describes it as "bacterial SSU rRNA". It matches the Rfam family "Bacterial small subunit ribosomal RNA", at positions 1 to 870 of the family's 1533-position model. The record is from RNAcentral.
UAGAGUUUGAUCAUGGCUCAGGAUGAACGCUAGCGACAGGCUUAACACAUGCAAGUCGAGGGGCAGCGGGUAGAUGAGCUUGCUCAUUUAUGCCGGCGACCGGCGCACGGGUGAGUAACACGUAUGCAACCUGCCCGUCUCAGGGGGAUAAUCGUCGGAAACGGCGUCUAAUACCCCGUAUGAAGCCGGACGGCAUCGUCUGGUUUUGAAAGAAUAUCGGAGACGGAUGGGCAUGCGGCGCAUUAGCUAGUUGGCGGGGUAACGGCCCACCAAGGCGACGAUGCGUAGGGGUUCUGAGAGGAAGGUCCCCCACACUGGUACUGAGACACGGACCAGACUCCUACGGGAGGCAGCAGUGAGGAAUAUUGGUCAAUGGGCGAGAGCCUGAACCAGCCAAGUCGCGUGAGGGAGUACUGCCCUAUGGGUUGUAAACCUCUUUUGUCGGGGAGCAAAAGCCGGACGUGUCCGUCUGUGAGAGUACCCGAAGAAAAAGCAUCGGCUAACUCCGUGCCAGCAGCCGCGGUAAUACGGAGGAUGCGAGCGUUAUCCGGAUUUAUUGGGUUUAAAGGGUGCGUAGGCGGCCUGCCAAGUCAGCGGUAAAAUUGCGGGGCUCAACCCCGUACAGCCGUUGAAACUGCCGGGCUCGAGUGGGCGAGAAGUAUGCGGAAUGCGUGGUGUAGCGGUGAAAUGCAUAGAUAUCACGCAGAACCCCGAUUGCGAAGGCAGCAUACCGGCGCCCUACUGACGCUGAGGCACGAAAGUGCGGGGAUCAAACAGGAUUAGAUACCCUGGUAGUCCGCACAGUAAACGAUGAAUGCUAGCUGUCCGGGGGGAUUGACCCCUGGGUGGCACAGCGAAAGCGUUAAGCAUUCC